AUUGAACGCUAGCGGCAUGCCUAACACAUGCAAGUCGAACGGCAGCGCGAGGAGCUUGCUCCUUGGCGGCGAGUGGCGGACGGGUGAGUAACGCGUAGGAAUCUGCCUAGUAGUGGGGGACAACUCGGGGAAACUCGAGCUAAUACCGCAUAAUCUCUACGGAGCAAAGUGGGGGACCUUUUGGCCUCACGCUAUUAGAUGAGCCUGCGUCAGAUUAGAUUGUUGGUGGGGUAAUGGCCUACCAAGUCGACGAUCUGUAGCUGGUCUGAGAGGAUGACCAGCCACACUGGGACUGAGACACGGCCCAGACUCCUACGGGAGGCAGCAGUGGGGAAUAUUGGACAAUGGGCGAAAGCCUGAUCCAGCAAUGCCGCGUGUGUGAAGAAGGCCUUCGGGUUUGUAAAGCACUUUCAAUAGGGAAGAAAAGCCAAAGAUAAUACCUUGGAAAUUGACGUUACCUAUAGAAGAAG
RNAcentral lists this ribosomal RNA (470 nucleotides) under uncultured bacterium. RNAcentral's name for it is "bacterial SSU rRNA". It matches the Rfam family "Bacterial small subunit ribosomal RNA", at positions 30 to 490 of the family's 1533-position model. The record is from RNAcentral.